GGGGAGAAGCUCAGCGUGUAGCCUCGGGGAUGCCCUCCAAGUGAGUGUGUUAAUCCUACGAUGGGAUGCCACGUAUGGGAGAAUACUUGAAGAGUACGCGACGCGGCAAUCCGAAGUGUUUGAUGAAACAUUGCCCAGAGAGGGUGUUAGGCCCGUAGGACCGUUAUUCGUCGCUACUUUUCGCGGUGUUCUCUCGAGAGUCGGGUUGUUUGAGAAUACAGCCUUAAGAGGUGGGAAACUCCAUCUAAAGCUAAAUAUUACUGCGAGACCGAUAGCGAACAAGUACCGUGAGGGAAAGUUGAAAAGGACUCUGAAGAGAGGGUUCAAGAGAGCGUGAAACUGCCACGGGGAUAAAGCGGAUACAUUAGCGUAGUCGAAAAGGGAGAUACAGCUCGUUCGCCGUCGACCUCUCGGUCGCGACGUUCCUGAGGAAUUAUCCCGCGGACGCGUCUUUCGGGGCGCGUCUCGGUUCUUGGUUCUUCUCGUGGCGUCGUCCGUGGUUUAUGCGUACGUUCACGAACGAGUCUAUUUCACACCUUAGUAGGCCGUCGCGACGGUUGGAAAGUUGUCGAAGGCUUGAAAGGUCGCGGGAACCUUUCGUCGCGAGAGAUUUGCGUCUUCGGGCGCGUCUUUCGUCGACGAAGGGGGACGCUUUCUCGAAUUUACUGGCGGACUUUCCGACCGGAGAAAUAGGCGUCGUCUCCUCUUCACCGAGGAACGACGCGAGUGCGGCGCUCUUAGCGACCAAUUUAUCCGUCCCGUCUUGAAACACGGACCAAGGAGUCUAACAUGUACGCGAGUCAAAGGGCCUACUAAACCCCUAGGCGUAAUGAAAGUAAAGUGACGGUAGCAAUACCGUCGGGGAUUGAUCCGAAGCUCCGCCGAAAUUUAUUUCGAGCGGACCGGCGCAAAUCCGGGACCCGUCUUACUGCUCUUAGCUCUCGUAGCUAGGAGUUCAUGUGGCGGGUACCUCGAGCGUACACGUUGGUACCCGAAAGAUGGUGAUCUAUGCUUGGCCGGGAUGAAGCCAGAG
This 1033-nucleotide ribosomal RNA is filed under the name Betamorpha africana. RNAcentral's name for it is "eukaryotic LSU rRNA". It matches the Rfam family "Eukaryotic large subunit ribosomal RNA", at positions 99 to 857 of the family's 3401-position model. The record is from RNAcentral. Lineage: Eukaryota; Metazoa; Arthropoda; Malacostraca; Isopoda; Munnopsidae.